AUUGAACGCUGGCGGCAGGCCUAACACAUGCAAGUCGAGCGGAUGAAGGGAGCUUGCUCCUGGAUUCAGCGGCGGACGGGUGAGUAAUGCCUAGGAAUCUGCCUGGUAGUGGGGGAUAACGUCCGGAAACGGGCGCUAAUACCGCAUACGUCCUGAGGGAGAAAGUGGGGGAUCUUCGGACCUCACGCUAUCAGAUGAGCCUAGGUCGGAUUAGCUAGUUGGUGGGGUAAAGGCCUACCAAGGCGACGAUCCGUAACUGGUCUGAGAGGAUGAUCAGUCACACUGGAACUGAGACACGGUCCAGACUCCUACGGGAGGCAGCAGUGGGGAAUAUUAGACAAUGGGCGAAAGCCCGAUCCAGCCAUGCCGCGUGUGUGAAGAAGGUCUUCGGAUUGUAAAGCACUUUAAGUUGGGAGGAAGGGCAGUAAGUUAAUACCUUGCUGUUUUGACGUUACCAACAGAAUAAGCACCGGCUAACUUCGUG
This 484-nucleotide ribosomal RNA is filed under the name uncultured bacterium. RNAcentral's name for it is "partial 16S ribosomal RNA". It matches the Rfam family "Bacterial small subunit ribosomal RNA", at positions 30 to 507 of the family's 1533-position model. The record is from RNAcentral.